AAAAAGCUCGUAGUCGGAUUUUGGCUGAGAACGGUCGGUCCGCCGUUAGGUGUGCACUGACUGGUCUCAGCUUCCUGGUGAGGAGGUGUGCUUCAUCGCCACUUAGUCACCGUGGUUACUUUGAAAAAAUUAGAGUGUUCAAAGCGGGCUUACGCUUGAAUAUAUUAGCAUGGAAUAACACCAUAGGACUCCUGUCCUAUUUCGUUGGUCUCGGGACGGGAGUAAUGAUUAAGAGGAACAGUUGGGGGCAUUCGUAUUUCAUUGUCAGAGGUGAAAUUCUUGGAUUUAUGAAAGACGAACUUCUGCGAAAGCAUUUGCCAAGGAUGUUUUCAUUAAUCAAGAACGAAAGUUGGAGGCUCGAAGACGAUCAGAUACCGUCCUAGUUCCAACCAUAAACGAUGCCGUCUGCGGAUCGGAGGUCGCUCAUGUAAGGCUCCUUCGGCACGCUAUGAGAAAUCAAAGACUUCGGGUUCCGGGGGGAGUAUGUUCGCAAGAAUGAAACUUAAAGGAAUUGACGGAAGGGCACCACCAGGAGUGGAACCUGCGGCUUAAUUUGACUCAACACGGGGGAAACUUACCA
Molecule: ribosomal RNA, 580 nt
Filed under: uncultured marine eukaryote
Lineage: Eukaryota
Description: SSU rRNA
Rfam family: Eukaryotic small subunit ribosomal RNA
Source: RNAcentral